This 63-nucleotide transfer RNA is filed under the name Hyalella cajasi. RNAcentral's name for it is "tRNA-Gly". The record is from RNAcentral. Lineage: Eukaryota; Metazoa; Arthropoda; Malacostraca; Amphipoda; Hyalellidae.
UGAACUUUAAGUUAUAUAAACUUUGAGCCUUCCAAGCUAAAAAAAAGAGCCCCUUAAGUUCAA